Molecule: ribosomal RNA, 163 nt
Filed under: Glehnia littoralis
Lineage: Eukaryota; Viridiplantae; Streptophyta; Magnoliopsida; Apiales; Apiaceae
Also listed under: 1 other name
Description: 5.8S ribosomal RNA
Rfam family: 5.8S ribosomal RNA
About the family: 5.8S ribosomal RNA (5.8S rRNA) is a component of the large subunit of the eukaryotic ribosome.
Source: RNAcentral
CAACGACUCUCGACAACGGAUAUCUCGGCUCUCGCAUCGAUGAAGAACGUAGCGAAAUGCGAUACUUGGUGUGAAUUGCAGAAUCCCGUGAACCAUCGAGUCUUUGAACGCAAGUUGCGCCCGAAGCCACUAGGCUGAGGGCACGCCUGCCUGGGUGUCACGC